UACGAAGGGGGCUAGCGUUGCUCGGAAUUACUGGGCGUAAAGGGCGCGUAGGCGGCUCGACAAGUCCCGCGUGAAAGCCCCCGGCUCAACUGGGGAACUGCGCGGGAAACUGUCGGACUUGAGUUCGGGAGAGGGAAGCGGAAUUCCGGGUGUAGCGGUGAAAUGCGCAGAUAUCAGGAGGAACACCAAUGGCGAAGGCAGCUCGCUGGGACGUGACUGACGCUGAGACGCGAAAGCGUGGGGAGCAAACAGG
RNAcentral lists this ribosomal RNA (253 nucleotides) under uncultured bacterium. Its description in RNAcentral is "partial 16S ribosomal RNA". It matches the Rfam family "Bacterial small subunit ribosomal RNA", at positions 524 to 776 of the family's 1533-position model. The record is from RNAcentral.